GACGAACGCUGGCGGCGUGCCUAAUACAUGCAAGUUGAGCGCUGAAGGUUGGUACUUGUACCGACUGGAUGAGCAGCGAACGGGUGAGUAACGCGUGGGGAAUCUGCCUUUGAGCGGGGGACAACAUUUGGAAACGAAUGCUAAUACCGCAUAAAAACUUUAAACACAAGUUUUAAGUUUGAAAGAUGCAAUUGCAUCACUCAAAGAUGAUCCCGCGUUGUAUUAGCUAGUUGGUGAGGUAAAGGCUCACCAAGGCGAUGAUACAUAGCCGACCUGAGAGGGUGAUCGGCCACAUUGGGACUGAGACACGGCCCAAACGCCUACGGGAGGCAGCAGUAGGGAAUCUUCGGCAAUGGACGAAAGUCUGACCGAGAAACGCCGCGUGAGUGAAGAAGGUUUUCGGAUCGUAAAACUCUGUUGGUAGAGAAGAACGUUGGUGAGAGUGGAAAGCUCAUCAAGUGACGGUAACUACACAGAAAGGGACGGCUAACUACGUG
RNAcentral lists this ribosomal RNA (497 nucleotides) under uncultured bacterium. RNAcentral's name for it is "partial 16S ribosomal RNA". It matches the Rfam family "Bacterial small subunit ribosomal RNA", at positions 28 to 507 of the family's 1533-position model. The record is from RNAcentral.